This 248-nucleotide ribosomal RNA is filed under the name Vibrio alginolyticus. RNAcentral's name for it is "partial 16S ribosomal RNA". It matches the Rfam family "Bacterial small subunit ribosomal RNA", at positions 1 to 235 of the family's 1533-position model. The record is from RNAcentral. RNAcentral also lists the same sequence under 1 other name. Lineage: Bacteria; Pseudomonadati; Pseudomonadota; Gammaproteobacteria; Vibrionales; Vibrionaceae.
AAAUUGAAGAGUUUGAUCAUGGCUCAGAUUGAACGCUGGCGGCAGGCCUAACACAUGCAAGUCGAGCGGAAACGAGUUAUCUGAACCUUCGGGGAACGAUAACGGCGUCGAGCGGCGGACGGGUGAGUAAUGCCUAGGAAAUUGCCCUGAUGUGGGGGAUAACCAUUGGAAACGAUGGCUAAUACCGCAUGAUGCCUACGGGCCAAAGAGGGGGACCUUCGGGCCUCUCGCGUCAGGAUAUGCCUAGG